AGGACGAACGCUGGCGGCGUGCUUAACACAUGCAAGUCGAGCGGAAAGGCCCUUCGGGGUACUCGAGCGGCGAACGGGUGAGUAACACGUGAGUAAUCUGCCCCUAGCUCUGGGAUAGCUCCGGGAAACCGGGAUUAAUACCGGAUAUGACCACUUUAGACAUCUGUUGUGGUGGAAAGAAUUUCGGCUAGGGAUGAGCUCGCGGCCUAUCAGCUUGUUGGUGGGGUAACGGCCUACCAAGGCGACGACGGGUAGCCGGCCUGAGAGGGCGACCGGCCACACUGGGACUGAGACACGGCCCAGACUCCUACGGGAGGCAGCAGUGGGGAAUAUUGCGCAAUGGGCGAAAGCCUGACGCAGCGACGCCGCGUGGGGGAUGAAGGCCUUCGGGUUGUAAACCCUUUCAGCAGGGACGAAGCGAAAGUGACGGUACCUGCAGAAGAAGCGCCGGCUAACUACGUGCCAGCAGCCGC
This 473-nucleotide ribosomal RNA is filed under the name uncultured bacterium. RNAcentral's name for it is "SSU rRNA". It matches the Rfam family "Bacterial small subunit ribosomal RNA", at positions 26 to 518 of the family's 1533-position model. The record is from RNAcentral.